Molecule: long non-coding RNA, 492 nt
Organism: Passer montanus (Eurasian tree sparrow)
Lineage: Eukaryota; Metazoa; Chordata; Aves; Passeriformes; Passeridae
Exons: 3
Source: RefSeq, a predicted model, not a curated record
AGAACAAAAAUCCCACAUCCAAUAAUGCAAAUGUGGGCUUGCCUCAGCCCUGUGUUCCCCUGCCAAAGAGGGAUGAGAGGGCUCUUUCCACCCCUGAAUGCUCCUAGGCCACCCAUGACCUGCACUGCAGCUGGCCUGGGUCUGCCUCUUCUCCCUGUGUGUUGCUCCUGCCCGUGGUGCUCACCUACAGCAGAAUAUGGAUUUGGCAGAUGCGAACACAUCCCAGGUUUAUCACCUCUGGUUUCUGGAAAGGGGCAUUUGUUUUGGGAAACAAGUGGAAGAGCAGCAUUCUGCCAGGAAAUGUCAUCCUAUUUCCCACUGUCACACAAAGUGCCCGAGGCUGUGAUUGAAAAAUCUUGUGAAAAGACUCAUAUUCUGUUUCUAAUCAGGUAUGUUUCUGUCUUUAGAGUACCUGCUAGUUUCUUUUUGCCUGCAUGACAUUUCUAUUUUGAUCUAAGCUCUUCUUUCCCUCCCCCUGUUGCAGUGCCUCUG